Molecule: long non-coding RNA, 691 nt
Organism: Bombina bombina (fire-bellied toad)
Lineage: Eukaryota; Metazoa; Chordata; Amphibia; Anura; Bombinatoridae
Exons: 4
Source: RefSeq, a predicted model, not a curated record
GGUCAGCAUAAAAGGUUAGUAGUAUCAUGCUGAGGCUAUGUCAUGCAGCAACUGCUAAAAACAGUGAUACAAAAAGAAGAUUGUCACCAUGUGCCUAAUGCUGUACCAGACUGUGAGCUUACAGGAGAGAUAAUUGGUAUGUCAGUUGUGUCCCCCGAUGUAACAUAUCUUGCAAACCCCAAUGUUUUUGUACUGCUUUUCCACUCUGUAUGUUGGAGUGUAUCCUGCAGAUCCACAACAUUUAUCCUACAACAUAGUACAUAGCAAUUGUUUGAUCAGCGCACCAGCUAAUGUAUAUUUGUUCCUAAUUGGCUAUAGAGAAAAAGAUAAGCCACAUGUUCAAAAAAGCCACUCGGAUGUCUGAUAAACAAUACAAAUUGUGGUAACAAUUCUGACAAACUGUCUUUUCUCUGCUAUACUUAACAGAAAUGAUUGUUACGCUGUAGCUGUGUACAGAAAUGCACCAGAAACCAACUCAGCUUGAUUCCAGAAGACAUCUGUCAUACAUGGGUUAGCUGGAAGCUGACUUGACUUCGCUUUGUUGUCAGAUGCUAUGCAAAAAUGUACUGAUAUGUCAUAUGCACAACCUAUCAUAAAUAAGUAAUGUGCUUUGUGCAAGGAAAGUCAGUGCUGAAUAUCAAGUAGUGUAUUUUGGAAUAAGGUGCCUGGCAUUACUUUUCAGGAAAGUUUA